RNAcentral lists this ribosomal RNA (468 nucleotides) under uncultured bacterium. RNAcentral's name for it is "partial 16S ribosomal RNA". It matches the Rfam family "Bacterial small subunit ribosomal RNA", at positions 28 to 507 of the family's 1533-position model. The record is from RNAcentral.
GACGAACGCUGGCGGCGUGCUUAACACAUGCAAGUCGAACGGAAAGGCCCUGCUUUUGUGGGGUGCUCGAGUGGCGAACGGGUGAGUAACACGUGAGUAACCUGCCCUUGACUUUGGGAUAACUUCAGGAAACUGGGGCUAAUACCGGAUAGGAGCUCCUGCUGCCUGGUGGGGGUUGGAAAGUUUCGGCGGUUGGGGAUGGACUCGCGGCUUAUCAGCUUGUUGGUGGGGUAGUGGCUUACCAAGGCUUUGACGGGUAGCCGGCCUGAGAGGGUGACCGGCAACAUUGGGACUGAGAUACGGCCCAGACUCCUACGGGAGGCAGCAGUGGGGAAUAGUGCACAAUGGGCGGAAGCCUGAUGCAGCAACGCCGCGUGCGGGAUGACGGCCUUCGGGUUGUAAACCGCUUUCGCCUGUGACGAAGCGUGAGUGACGGUAAUGGGUAAAGAAGCACCGGCUAACUACGUG